Molecule: long non-coding RNA, 1200 nt
Filed under: Lactuca sativa (garden lettuce)
Lineage: Eukaryota; Viridiplantae; Streptophyta; Magnoliopsida; Asterales; Asteraceae
Description: long non-coding RNA (LSAT_LNC000974)
Source: RNAcentral
AAUCUCCUAUAGGGAGAGCGGACAUUGUGUGUAUAGAUCUAUACGGGAUUGACAACUUCGCACCCAGACUGCUAGCUACAGUCCUGGCCUACCAAGCCAACGGGUGACAAAUGUCAUAUUUUAGACGCUCGUAGGGUGUCUGGUACUCUAGUCAGUAUGGUUACGAGUAUCCCGGGUUGCCUUAUAAUUCAUUGGCUUUAAGGUAACGGUAUUUCACCGACAAUUUACACUGUAUGCUGGUAAUUCAUUUUCAGAGUCACACUGUUUUGACCUUACAAGACGUAUCUUUCAUUUGAUACUGUCUGGUGUCUGUUAUCUCUGUUUUGACCUUACAAGACGUAAUCUUUCAUUUGAUACUGUCUGGGGUCUGUCUUUCACUGUUUUUGACCUUACAAGACGUAUCUUUUAUUUGAUACUAUCUGGGGUCUAUCUUUCACUGUUUUAGACCUUACCAGCUGUACCUUUCAUUUGGUACCUUCUGGGGUCUGAGUCUCUACUUGUUAGACUGAACUAGGCGUGUCGUUAGUUCGAUACUCUCCUGUAGUCUAUGAUUCCUUGCCUUAGUCAGCAGUCCUCACUGCUGAGGCAUAUGUUAUUCCCUGAUGUCGUUUGCUUUCCUCAAUAAUCAAAUCCGGUAUUUUGAUAAUGAUAGCAAUUUAGGGAAAAUGACUUUUUACCACCUAACACUGACCAGUCUUGGUAGAAGGCUGCUUUAUUAAAGAAAAUAUAGGAUUUUCUGGAAAGAACUCUAAUACACAGUAAACACUUAAACUACUACUUUAUAAAGUUAUUUGAAUAAAUGUCACUAAAUGCUUAUGAACUCACUAGCAUUUGUAAAAAUGCUGAUACUCGCUUUUCAAAUAACUUGUAUUCUCAGGUCAACAAUUAGACAGGUACACCCCCGGAGCUGUUGAUGAAGAUGGCUUAGUACCUUGCUGUACUUUAUAUAUAUUUGCCUNAGAUGGCUUAGUACCUUGCUGUACUUUAUAUAUAUUUGCCUGUAUUACUUAAUACUUUGUAAUGUAAACAAUGUAAAAUUUUUACUAUUAAUGCAAUGUUUUGUUGUACUUUGAUUACUAUAAUGCAUGUGUUGUGAUACUUGACAUGACGUCAUCCACCCCAGAACGUUUCCGCCGUUCCGGUUUUAGGGUGUGACAGGCGGUGGCAGGAGGAAAAGAAGGUGGCAGCAGCUCACAGUGG